RNAcentral lists this ribosomal RNA (479 nucleotides) under uncultured bacterium. RNAcentral describes it as "partial 16S ribosomal RNA". It matches the Rfam family "Bacterial small subunit ribosomal RNA", at positions 28 to 507 of the family's 1533-position model. The record is from RNAcentral.
GAUGAACGCUAGCGGGAGGCCUAACACAUGCAAGCCGAGCGGUAGAGAUUCUUCGGAAUCUUGAGAGCGGCGUACGGGUGCGGAACACGUGUGCAACCUGCCUUUAUCAGGGGGAUAGCCUUUCGAAAGGAAGAUUAAUACCCCAUAAUAUAUUUUAUGGCAUCAUUAGAUAUUGAAAGCUUUGGCGGAUAGAGAUGGGCACGCGCAAGAUUAGAUAGUUGGUGAGGUAACGGCUCACCAAGUCGAUGAUCUUUAGGGGGCCUGAGAGGGUGAUCCCCCACACUGGUACUGAGACACGGACCAGACUCCUACGGGAGGCAGCAGUGAGGAAUAUUGGACAAUGGGUUAGCGCCUGAUCCAGCCAUCCCGCGUGAAGGACGACGGCCCUAUGGGUUGUAAACUUCUUUUGUACAGGGAUAAACCUACUCUCGUGAGAGCAGCUGAAGGUACUGUACGAAUAAGCACCGGCUAACUCCGUG